GCUUAGAGAGGGGUCAAUGUCCUAUCAGCUAGUUGGUAAGGUAAUGGCUUACCAAGGCUAAGACGGGUAGCCGGCCUGAGAGGGUGGUCGGCCACACUGGGACUGAGACACUGCCCAGACUCCUACGGGAGGCUGCAGUCGAGAAUCUUUCGCAAUGCCCGAAAGGGUGACGAAGCGACGCCGCGUGUGGGAAGAAGGCCUUCGGGUUGUAAACCACUGUCGGGAGUUAAGAAAUGUAAGGGUGUUAAUAGCAUCCUUACUUGACUAAGGCUCCGGAGGAAGCCACGGCUAACUCUGUGCCAGCAGCCGCGGUAAUACAGAGGCGGCAAGCGUUGUUCGGAAUUAUUGGGCGUAAAGAGCACGUAGGCGGCUUUGUAAGUCAGUUGUGAAAGCCUUCCGCUUAACGGAAGAACAGCAUCUGGUACUGCAAGGCUAGAGUGCGGAAGGG
This 448-nucleotide ribosomal RNA is filed under the name uncultured Planctomycetota bacterium. RNAcentral's name for it is "bacterial SSU rRNA". It matches the Rfam family "Bacterial small subunit ribosomal RNA", at positions 217 to 656 of the family's 1533-position model. The record is from RNAcentral. Lineage: Bacteria; Pseudomonadati; Planctomycetota.